RNAcentral lists this long non-coding RNA (1086 nucleotides) under Sus scrofa (pig). Its description in RNAcentral is "lncRNA (ENSSSCG00070012432.1)". The record is from RNAcentral. Lineage: Eukaryota; Metazoa; Chordata; Mammalia; Artiodactyla; Suidae.
GAUCUUGCGGGGGCAGGCUCAGGUCCUGGUGGGGCUUCCUUCCUGGCUCACAGAGGGCUGCCUUCUCGCCAUGUCCUCACAGGGUGGAGAGAAAGAGAUCUGGGGUCUCUUCCUCUUCUUGAAAAGGGCCUAAUCCCAUCACAGGGCCCACCCGCAAGACCUCAUCUGACCCAAUCCCCUCCCCAAGCCGCCCCCUCCAAACACCGCCCCACGAGGGGUCAGGGCUUCAACCCGCAGAUUUGGGGCGAGGACAGAACCCACUCCACGCAACUCAGUCUCCUGGUCCUUGUAAAUGGCAUCAUUCCGUUGCUCAAACCAAAACGGAAGCUUGACUUCCUCCUGCACAUUCGCUGUCUUUUCCUGCUGUGCCGGGUCCCUCCAGGGCACGUAGUCCCAUCUGUCCCGUUACCCCAUGAUGGCGGCCCCCCACCCAGAUGCCGCCACCAUCACUGGCCUGGAGCACGUCCCCGUCUAAGCCCUGCCCUCUCUUUCCUUUCUCCAGCUCACUCUCCAAGGAGCCUCCCCAACUGCGCGGCCUCAGCUCCAGGCCACGGCCUCUGGACAACUCCCCCUCCCCCACCGUCUCCCCCAAGAGACGCAGGCUCUGAUCUCCCCCACGCCCACCUCCCCACUCAGCUCAGGCACACCAAGCUUCUCUGUCCCUUGACCCCACAGGUCUCAUUGGCUUCUUUCCUUGAGGGGCUCGUUCUUUCUCGGAAGCCUCGAGAUGCGUGUCACCUCCCCAGAGAGACGAUCCCCGAGGGUUCCGAGUACAGGGACCUCUCUCGCCCUCGGUUUGCCUCCUCUAGACGCAUCUCACGUGAUUCGACCCUUCAUUCCUUUUUUAUUCACCGUUUAUCCCUCCUCUUGCGACAGUGGUUCCAUGGGGGCAGCAGGCGUCUCCACUGGGAGACUCUCCACGCCGCUGGGACCUGCCUCACAAGUAAGCAGAUGUGCUCGAUGGGGAGAGAGGAUGGCUGUUCUCACUUGCCUCCCGUCCCUAGAGCAGAAUCUCCUCCCCGCACGAUGGCUUCUGCCCUCUUCUCCCCCCAUGAGAACUGCCCAUCCCCCAAGGCUGAUCCCUAG